This 1019-nucleotide long non-coding RNA is filed under the name Scophthalmus maximus (turbot). Its description in RNAcentral is "lncRNA (ENSSMAG00000032864.1)". Lineage: Eukaryota; Metazoa; Chordata; Actinopteri; Pleuronectiformes; Scophthalmidae. The record is from RNAcentral.
AUGAUGGAUGAUCUGGACCGAUUUCGCCAAAGAAAACAAACUGGAUGUAUAUUCUGUGGAAAUAUGCAGGUCAGUCUGAUCCCACAUCCUGACCUCGGAGCGGCCGGCCGACUCCCCCCCGCGUCCAGAUGGCACUUUCGCAAAUCCCAUUUCAUCGACAAAAGGUGUUUUUCUUCAAGCUCGCCGCCACGGGUACAGGAUGUACUCUGGGGCCGAGGGAUCACACACGGAUUAGCCCUCGUCUAUUUGUGCCGCCGGCCAUGUUUGGGGGGCACAAAUAUAGAGGUCAGUAUUUACAUAUUUGGGCCUGAUGGCACAUUCAGGUUGUAUAUGUGUAUGUGCACACUUCAACUUUAUGAAGUAGUAAAUACUUUUGCUGUUUUCUCUCACAGUCACAUUGAAUUUAAAAGUAUAUUAAACAUGACAGAAAAAACGUCUGCACAUGAGACCCCUACUUCUGGCCGACUGUUCCCAGACAUACAAAGACUUUUCUGCCCCCAAAAAAUCGACCCCAAAAUUUUUCCACCCCCCUCAUGCUGACCCCCCUCUGUGCUGUUGAUGUAGUCCUCACUGCUGAGAAAGCAAGUGUCCUGCUGGUUAAACCCCUGAACGGCCAGACUGUCGGUAAGUAAGGCUCCACCUCCCAGGGGGGGCCCCGCCGAGAUUCUACAGGGGGAAUUAGCCCGUCCAGUGUCCAGGGGUCAGGAAAACACUUUGUGUUUGUACACACACAGAAAGAAAAACCUGUUAACAGCACUCUCGUCGCCAGCGAGUCCCCAAAUACCACCUGACAAAAAAUACUUUUUCAACAUGAGCAUGUCUUCCAUUUUAGGGGCCGUCAAGGGGCUGUGGAGUCAAACACAGACAGAGACUGGUUUGUCUCGAUACGAUUAAUUAUCGGACCUCAACUCGAGUGAGCUGCCUGCCACGUGGCCUGUGAGCGAGGACGCCCGCUCUGCCCCAAUCUGAGCAUCCAAUUACACACAGAGUGCAGACGAGGGGCAAGUCAUUUGUGUCCC